UACGUAGGGUGCAAGCGUUGUCCGGAAUUAUUGGGCGUAAAGAGCUCGUAGGCGGUUUGUCGCGUCGGAUGUGAAAACCCGCGGCUCAACCGCGGGCCUGCAGCCGAUACGGGCAGGCUAGAGUUCGGUAGGGGAGACUGGAAUUCCUGGUGUAGCGGUGAAAUGCGCAGAUAUCAGGAGGAACACCGGUGGCGAAGGCGGGUCUCUGGGCCGAUACUGACGCUGAGGAGCGAAAGCGUGGGGAGCGAACAGG
RNAcentral lists this ribosomal RNA (253 nucleotides) under uncultured bacterium. RNAcentral's name for it is "partial 16S ribosomal RNA". It matches the Rfam family "Bacterial small subunit ribosomal RNA", at positions 524 to 776 of the family's 1533-position model. The record is from RNAcentral.